RNAcentral lists this ribosomal RNA (807 nucleotides) under uncultured bacterium. RNAcentral's name for it is "bacterial SSU rRNA". It matches the Rfam family "Bacterial small subunit ribosomal RNA", at positions 591 to 1396 of the family's 1533-position model. The record is from RNAcentral.
UCUGUGAAAUUCCGGGGCUUAACUUCGGGGUGGCAGGCGAUACGGGCAUAACUAGAGUGCUGUAGGGGAGACUGGAAUUCCUGGUGUAGCGGUGGAAUGCGCAGAUAUCAGGAGGAACACCGAUGGCGAAGGCAGGUCUCUGGGCAGUAACUGACGCUGAGGAGCGAAAGCAUGGGGAGCGAACAGGAUUAGAUACCCUGGUAGUCCAUGCUGUAAACGGUGGGCGUUAGGUGUGGGGACCGGUUUGGUUUCUGUGCCGUAGCUAACGCAUUAAGCGCCCCGCCUGGGGAGUACGGCCGCAAGGCUAAAACUCAAAGGAAUUGACGGGGGCCCGCACAAGCGGCGGAGCAUGUGGAUUAAUUCGAUGCAACGCGAAGAACCUUACCUGGGUUUGACAUGCACCAGACGGUUGUAGAGAUACGUACCUCCCUUUGUGGUUGGUGUGCAGGUGGUGCAUGGUUGUCGUCAGCUCGUGUCGUGAGAUGUUGGGUUAAGUCCCGCAACGAGCGCAACCCUUGUCUUAUGUUGCCAGCACUUUGGGUGGGGACUCAUGAGAGACUGCCGGGGUUAACUCGGAGGAAGGUGGGGAUGACGUCAAAUCAUCAUGCCCUUUAUGCCCAGGGCUUCACACAUGCUACAAUGGUUAGUACAACGCGCUGCGAACCUGUGAGGGUGAGCGAAUCGCUGAAAGCUAAUCUCAGUUCGGAUUGGGGUCUGCAACUCGACCCCAUGAAGUCGGAGUCGCUAGUAAUCGCAGAUCAGCAAUGCUGCGGUGAAUACGUUCCCGGGCCUUGUACACACCGCCCG